AGGCUGGUUGGUGUUGGCGAGGCUUGCACAUUAAUCUUGCUGCUCCGUUGAUUCAUUGCCCUGCUUUUGUUGCUAAGCUUUGAACCGAAAUGGUGGGAAACGGAAAUGCUCUGGGCCAGAAGACUGUGAGCCGAAAAACUUUGCCAAUAGCUGUCUCGCCUACCCAACCUCUGACAUUUUCAAAUAGGAGGGUUGUCCAAAAGAAUGCCAAGUUGUAAAUAUUCAAUUCUUAUGUUUACUAUAUUUUGCAUAAUUUCUCUACUGACUUGAGCGUCGGAGUAUCUUUUUUGUUUGCUGCAGGUCUCGCCUUCUCAAUCCUAAGACAUUUUCAAUAAGGAGGGUUGUUGAA
Papaver somniferum (opium poppy) is the source of this 349-nucleotide long non-coding RNA. RefSeq lists it as uncharacterized. NCBI's taxonomy places the organism in Eukaryota, Viridiplantae, Streptophyta, Magnoliopsida, Ranunculales, Papaveraceae. The transcript is spliced from 3 exons. The record is from RefSeq and is a predicted model, not a curated record.